CCUUCUCGUUCGUCCCCGUGGCUUCUGGAGUCUUCUAGAUGAUACAAAAUUGUGCGGCACAUUAAUAUCUCUAUGUAAUCCUGACAUGUGGGCCUUUCUUCCUUAUUUCCUGAUAACCCCCUGCAGAAAUAGACAAACACCAAAACUCGUGGAAUUCUGUCAGAUAAAACCCUAAGUCUAGAUGUUGAUUUCAUUUGGAUCCUUUUCUUUGUUUAUUUGAUAAUUAAAUUUGAAUACUUAAGGACCGUCAACAGACGCCAAUCCAAGAACCAAUGGUAACGACCGGCGCACUCCUUUCGUUAAGUACCUCUCGGAUGGCUUGGGAUUUCACGACAAAACAGAGA
This 344-nucleotide long non-coding RNA is filed under the name Sorghum bicolor (sorghum). RNAcentral's name for it is "long non-coding RNA (SBIC_LNC006945)". Lineage: Eukaryota; Viridiplantae; Streptophyta; Magnoliopsida; Poales; Poaceae. The record is from RNAcentral.